RNAcentral lists this long non-coding RNA (1594 nucleotides) under Capra hircus (goat). RNAcentral describes it as "lncRNA (ENSCHIG00000007408.1)". Lineage: Eukaryota; Metazoa; Chordata; Mammalia; Artiodactyla; Bovidae. The record is from RNAcentral.
CAGCUCCCUUUCAGUAGAAACUGGCCAUGCUACGUAUUCAAUUUAGUCUUCCUCUCUUAGGUAACUGAGUGCCUUUAAAUGAGGUGAGUUUCACAUUUGUCAUAAUUUUGUGAUUCCUUAGAAGUCACUAAGAUCAAACUGCUGGCAGCUGUCCUGUAGCAGCAAACCAACAUAUGGUGGAAAGCAAAGCAGGUUCUCCUCUUUUGGAGUUUCAGCCAGUGAGAAGGAAAUCCAGUUCCUCUUCUGUCUGUUCAGCUCGCUAGAGCAGCUUCUCUUCAAAUCCACAGCAGAACCUUGUGCUCACCAGGACCCAGGAGAAAGGAGCAGGGAGCUCAAAAGAGACUGACCCAGACUUGCCCAUGAGUGUCCAGGAGUCUCCGGUGGAGGGGAAGUCAUCUUAUAGCAUGUCUAGAAGUUAUACUGAGCAAGGAAUGUUUGAGGAGGUUUAUUACAAGUCUCCAAUGCAAAGGAAAGUGGACGUUGACUUCUGUUAAUAAAGCAGCUACUGUAAAGGAAAUGGAAGUCACUAGACAUGGAAACGGGCUUCUUUUGUGGCUCAUUGGUAAAGAAUUUGCCUGCCAAUACAGGAGAUAUGCGUUUGAUCCCUGGGUUGGGAAGAUACCCUGGAGAAGGAAACAGCAACCCACUCAAGUUUUCUUGCUUGGGAAAUCCUACGGACAGAAGAGCCUGGUAGGCUACCAGCCUAGGGGUCACAAAGAGCUGGACACGACUUAGUGACUGAGCACACGUGCAGAUAUUGGAAUAUUUGUUUUGGAUUAUUUUUUCCAUCACUUAUUUUUGAAAAAUCUCUAUUCAAUCUAUUCACUUCUAAUCAACCAAAUUAUUCUGUUAGCUAUAUAUCUGGGGCUAUAGCUAAAAUCCAUGCUAUUGAUCUCUGCUUUUCUGUGCCUAAGGCUAAGUAAACUUUCAUAAAAUGCAGCAACCAACUGGCAAAAAAUAGAACAAAACAAAUAUCUUGUGCUUCAGUAUCAAUGUCAACAACUGUCUAUUACAUCCUUGCAAACUAGCUCUAAAGGUUUUAAAACCCUUAAUAUUAUUGCAUUUGCUGAAGGAUUUGGGGACAAUAUGAUUUUAAAGAAUCUAUUUACUUGUUCUGGAUAUGUUCAUAUUUUUAUUUGAAAAAAUAUUUUUUCAAUAUGAUUUUUCUAUGAUAGUAAAAGGGAGCAAAACUUAUCUUUAAUUCCUCAAAUUGAGAGGAAUGUUUAAGGCAAUUUUACAAUGUUAAUAAAUAGGAAAACCCAUUAGCAUCUGAUUUACUGGGGUAGUCAGGAUUCAAACAUGGUUUAUUGCUGUGCACUUAGCACAUAAAGCAUGCAUUUUGUUUUCAAUUUCCUUAUACUCCCAGCUGAGUGGUAAAACUAUUCUAUGCAGUAUAUUAGUAGCAAUAAUAGGGUAAAAGCUGGAGGGGGUUCUGAAAUAUCUUAAGAAAUUUAUUUCUAUUUCUGCUGUAACAACCACUCAAGGCAUAAAGUUUGUAAUGUGACACUUAUAGACUUUAAGGAUCAUUUAAAUAAAAUCUAAAACAAUAAAACAUUAGCAUUGUUAUAAAGCAGGAAAUCACAUUAAAAAUCCA